AGGCAGCAGGCGCGUAAAUUACCCAAUCUAGAAACUAGGAGGUAGUGACAAUAAAUAACGAUGCUGGGCCUUUAUAGGUCUGGCAAUUGGAAUGAGAACAAUCUAAACCCCUUAUCAAGGAUCAAUUGGAGGGCAAGUCUGGUGCCAGCAGCCGCGGUAAUUCCAGCUCCAAUAGCGUAUAUUAAAGUUGUUGCAGUUAAAAAGCUCGUAGUUGAAUUUGUGGAGGUUCACAUGGUCCAAAAUGUUUUGGGACUGUUGUGAACAACCAUCCUUGGGUGGAACCUGUGAGGCAUUAGGUUGUUUUGUGGGGGAUGCCCAUCAUUUACUGUGAAAAAAUUAGAGUGUUCAAAGCAGGCUUAUGCCAUUGAAUAGAUUAGCAUGGAAUAAUGAGAUAGGACUUUGGUACUAUUUUGUUGGUUUGUGCACCAGAGUAAUGAUUAAUAGGGACAGUUGGGGGUAUUCGUAUUCCAUUGUCAGAGGUGAAAUUCUUGGAUUUUUGGAAGACGAACUACUGCGAAAGCAUUUACCAAGGAUGUUUUCAUUAAUCAAGAACGAAAGUUAGGGGAUCGAAGAUGAUUAGAUACCAUCGUAGUCUUAACCAUAAACUAUGCCAGUUAGGGAUUGACAGGGUAUCGUUACGUCUCUGUC
RNAcentral lists this ribosomal RNA (648 nucleotides) under Pinnularia subcommutata. Its description in RNAcentral is "SSU rRNA". It matches the Rfam family "Eukaryotic small subunit ribosomal RNA", at positions 423 to 1081 of the family's 1831-position model. The record is from RNAcentral. Lineage: Eukaryota; Bacillariophyta; Bacillariophyceae; Sellaphorales; Pinnulariaceae.